GGAGAGGUGCCAGAGCGGACGAAUGGAACGGUCUUGAAAACCGUCGAGGGGCAACCUUCCGCGGGUUCGAAUCCCGCCCUCUCCGCCA
Molecule: transfer RNA, 88 nt
Filed under: uncultured Thermomicrobiales bacterium
Lineage: Bacteria; Pseudomonadati; Thermomicrobiota; Thermomicrobia; Thermomicrobiales
Description: tRNA-Ser-TGA
Rfam family: tRNA
About the family: Transfer RNA (tRNA) molecules are approximately 80 nucleotides in length. Their secondary structure includes four short double-helical elements and three loops (D, anti-codon, and T loops).
Source: RNAcentral